AGAGUUUGAUCCUGGCUCAGAAUCAACGCUGGCGGCGCGCCUAACGCAUGCAAGUCGAGCGAGAAAGGGGGCAACCCUGAGUAAAGCGGCGUACGGGUGAGUAACACGUGGAUUAUCUACCUCUUAGUGGGGCAUACCUUUGGGAAACCGAAGACAAUUCCGCAUAAGUUCGAGAGAAGAAAGCAGCAAUGCGCUGAGAGAAGAGUCCGCGGCCGAUUAGCUAGAUGGCGGGGUAAUGGCCCACCAUGGCGACGAUCGGUAGCCGGCCUGAGAGGGCACACGGCCACACUGGCACUGAAACACGGGCCAGACUCCUACGGGAGGCAGCAGUGGGGAAUCUUGCACAAUGGAGGAAACUCUGAUGCAGCGACGCCGCGUGGACGAUGAAGCCCUUCGGGGUGUAAAGUCCUUUCGACCGGAACGAUAAUGACGGUACCGGUGGAAGAAGCUGCGGCUAACUACGUGCCAGCAGCCGCGGUAAUACGUAGGCAGCAAGCGUUGUUCGGAAUUAUUGGGCGUAAAGAGCUCGUAGGCGGUUUGCCAAGUUUGGUGUGAAAUCUCCCGGCUUAACUGGGAGGGUGCGCCGAAUACUAGCAGGCUAGAGUACGGGAGAGGAAAGCGGAAUUCCUGGUGUAGCGGUGGAAUGCGCAGAUAUCAGGAGGAACACCGGUGGCGAAGGCGGGUCUCUGGGCAGUAACUGACGCUGAGGAGCGAAAGCGUGGGUAGCGAACAGGAUUAGAUACCCUGGUAGUCCAA
Molecule: ribosomal RNA, 756 nt
Filed under: uncultured bacterium
Lineage: Bacteria
Description: bacterial SSU rRNA
Rfam family: Bacterial small subunit ribosomal RNA
Source: RNAcentral